AGAACGAACGCUGGCGGCAGGCUUAACACAUGCAAGUCGAGCGCAUCCUUCGGGGUGAGCGGCAGACGGGUGAGUAACGCGUGGGGAUAUGCCCAGAGGUGGGGAAUAACUGUGGGAAACUACAGCUAAUACCGCAUAAGCCCUUCGGGGGAAAGAUUUAUUGCCUUUGGAUUAACCCGCGUCAGAUUAGCUAGUUGGUAGGGUAAUGGCCUACCAAGGCGACGAUCUGUAGCUGGUCUGAGAGGAUGAUCAGCCACACUGGGACUGAGACACGGCCCAGACUCCUACGGGAGGCAGCAGUGGGGAAUAUUGGACAAUGGGCGCAAGCCUGAUCCAGCCAUGCCGCGUGAGUGAUGACGGCCUUAGGGUUGUAAAGCUCUUUUAACAGGGACGAUAAUGACGGUACCUGUAGAAUAAGCCCCGGCUAACUUCGUGCCAGCAGCCGC
This 446-nucleotide ribosomal RNA is filed under the name uncultured bacterium. RNAcentral describes it as "SSU rRNA". It matches the Rfam family "Bacterial small subunit ribosomal RNA", at positions 26 to 518 of the family's 1533-position model. The record is from RNAcentral.